Molecule: ribosomal RNA, 856 nt
Filed under: uncultured fungus
Lineage: Eukaryota; Fungi
Description: partial 18S ribosomal RNA
Rfam family: Eukaryotic small subunit ribosomal RNA (bases 1-559)
Source: RNAcentral
GUGCCAGAGAACAGGGGAUUCCAGCUCCAAUAGCGUAUAUUAAAGGUGUUGAGGUGAAAAAGCUCGUAGUUGAACCUUGGGCCUGGCUGGCCGGUCCGCCUCACCGCGUGCACUGGUCCGGCCGGGCCUUUCCCUCUGUGGAACCCCAUACCCUUCACUGGGCGUGGCGGGGAAACAGGACAUUUACUUUGAAAAAAUUAGAGUGCUCCAGGCAGGCCUAUGCUCGAAUACAUUAGCAUGGAAUAAUAAAAUAGGACGCGCGGUUCUAUUUUGUUGGUUUAUAGGACCGCCGUAAUGAUUAAUAGGGACAGUCGGGGGCAUCAGUAUUCAACUGUCAGAGGUGAAAUUUCUUGGAUCAGUUGAAGACUAACUACUGCGAAAGCAUUUGCCAAGGGAUGUUUUCAUUGAUCAGGAACGAAAGUUAGGGGAUCGGAGAACGAUCAGAUAACCGGCCGCAGUCUUAACCCAUAAAACUAUUGCCGACAAGGGAUUCGGAACGGGGUUAUUCCAUGGCCCCGUUUUGGCACCCUUACUAGGAACCCAAAGGGGUUGGGCCCCCAGGGGGGGGCCCCGGCCCGAAGGUGGAACCUUAAAGGAAUUAUCUCUAAAAAGCUCCACCCAAGGGGGGGCAGCCCUGGGGGUGAAAUUUUGACCCCAAAAAUGUGGAACCCCCCCCCAGGGGCCACCACCCCACGAGCGAUAACCCAAAAAUGGAAAAGCCCUUUCUUUAAAAUCUUUUUUUUGGAUUUUUAUGGGGGGACGUUAAAAGGGUGGUGGCCUAAUUUUGGGGGGUAAAAUUGGUCUACUAAAUAGGGACAUAAAACCAGAGGAACUAAUUCCCCUUUUAUAAAUUAGG